Molecule: unclassified non-coding RNA, 400 nt
Filed under: uncultured fungus
Lineage: Eukaryota; Fungi
Description: sequence contains ITS1
Rfam family: 5.8S ribosomal RNA (bases 1-105)
Source: RNAcentral
GAAAUGCGAUACGUAAUGUGAAUUGCAGAAUUCAGUGAAUCAUCGAAUCUUUGAACGCACAUUGCGCUCUCUGGUAUUCCGGAGAGCAUGCUUGUUUGAGUAUCAGUAAAACACCUCAACUCCUCUAUUUUUUUUUAGAGGAAUUGGACUUGAGCAAUCCCAACGGGGGAGGAUAUCCUCCGGCGGGUUGCUUGAAAUGCAGGAGCGGCCGGACAUUUUCUUCUGAGCUAGAAGCAUUACUCAUUUAGUCCCGUAAAACGGAUUAUUACUUUUGCUACAGCUAACAUUAAAGGUUGAUUGUCCUUGAGCCGCUUACUGAUGCAGGAAUUUUUCGAGGGCACGGUGCGCAAGCGACCUGCUCUCGUUCAACUCGAUCUCAAAUCAAGUAAGACUACCCGCU